GACGAACGCUGGCGGCGUGCUUAACACAUGCAAGUCGAACGGAAAGGCCCUGCUUUUGUGGGGUGCUCGAGUGGCGAACGGGUGAGUAGCACGUGAGUAACCUGCCCUUGACUUUGGGAUAACUUCAGGAAACUGGGGCUAAUACCGGAUAGGAGCUCCUGCUGCAUGGUGGGGGUUGGAAAGUUUCGGCGGUUGGGGAUGGACUCGCGGCUUAUCAGCUUGUUGGUGGGGUAGUGGCUUACCAAGGCUUUGACGGGUAGCCGGCCUGAGAGGGUGACCGGCCACAUUGGGACUGAGAUGCGGCCCAGACUCCUACGGGAGGCAGCAGUGGGGAAUAUUGCACAAUGGGCGGAAGCCUGAUGCAGCAACGCCGCGUGCGGGAUGACGGCCUUCGGGUUGUAAACCGCUUUCGCCUGUGACGAAGCGUGAGUGACGGUAAUGGGUAAAGAAGCACCGGCUAACUACGUG
This 468-nucleotide ribosomal RNA is filed under the name uncultured bacterium. RNAcentral's name for it is "partial 16S ribosomal RNA". It matches the Rfam family "Bacterial small subunit ribosomal RNA", at positions 28 to 507 of the family's 1533-position model. The record is from RNAcentral.